Non-coding RNA from Rattus rattus (black rat), 567 nucleotides. The record is from the annotation of a RefSeq genome assembly. NCBI's taxonomy places the organism in Eukaryota, Metazoa, Chordata, Mammalia, Rodentia, Muridae.
AUGGGCAUCCAGAUCCUCUGUUGUAUGAUCAUUUGUGUUCUGAUAACAAAUAACACAGAUGCUGGAGUCACCCAGACACCCAGACAUGAGGUGGCAGAGAAAGGACAAACAAUAAUUCUCACGUGUGAGCCAGUUUCAGGCCACAAUGAUCUUUUCUGGUACAGACAGACUAAGAUAAAGGGGCUAGAGUUGCUGAGCUACUUCCGCAACAAGUCUCCUAUGGAGGAUGCAGGGGCACUCAAGGAUCGAUUCACAGUUGAGUUUCAAGAUUCAUCCAUCUCCACGCUGAAGAUUCAACCUACAGAACCCCAGGACUCAGCUGUGUAUCUGUGUGCCAGCAGUUUAGCCACAGAACUACACAAGGAUGUCCUCCCAGUACAAAAACACUUGUAUCCUCCUCUCCCUCCAGUCCCUACCAGUUCUGAAGAUGUCUAUGCUCCUUCAAACAAAACAAACAAAGAAACAAAAACAGCAAAGGAUAGAGGCAUGGCAAAGACAGAAAAAAAAUACAGUAUUAGCAAAUUUGGGUGGAAAUUCAGAGAUUUCUCACAUAUGGUUGUGGGCUGA